UACGGGGGGGGCAAGCGUUGUUCGGAAUUACUGGGCGAAAAGGGCGCGUAGGCGGCUUAUCAAGUCAGGCGUGAAAUUCCCGGGCUCAACCUGGGGGCUGCGCUUGAUACUGAUGAGCUUGAAUGCGGGAGAGGAUAGUGGAAUUCCCAGUGUAGAGGUGAAAUUCGUAGAUAUUGGGAAGAACACCGGUGGCGAAGGCGGCUAUCUGGCCCGUAAUUGACGCUGAGGCGCGAAAGCGUGGGGAGCAAACAGG
This 253-nucleotide ribosomal RNA is filed under the name uncultured bacterium. RNAcentral describes it as "partial 16S ribosomal RNA". It matches the Rfam family "Bacterial small subunit ribosomal RNA", at positions 524 to 776 of the family's 1533-position model. The record is from RNAcentral.